Molecule: small RNA, 534 nt
Filed under: Meyerozyma sp. MS-2015
Lineage: Eukaryota; Fungi; Ascomycota; Pichiomycetes; Serinales; Debaryomycetaceae
Description: eukaryotic LSU rRNA
Rfam family: 5.8S ribosomal RNA (bases 192-345)
Source: RNAcentral
UGAACCUGCGGAAGGAUCAUUACAGUAUUCUUUUGCCAGCGCUUAACUGCGCGGCGAAAAACCUUACACACAGUGUCUUUUUGAUACAGAACUCUUGCUUUGGUUUGGCCUAGAGAUAGGUUGGGCCAGAGGUUUAACAAAACACAAUUUAAUUAUUUUUACAGUUAGUCAAAUUUUGAAUUAAUCUUCAAAACUUUCAACAACGGAUCUCUUGGUUCUCGCAUCGAUGAAGAACGCAGCGAAAUGCGAUAAGUAAUAUGAAUUGCAGAUUUUCGUGAAUCAUCGAAUCUUUGAACGCACAUUGCGCCCUCUGGUAUUCCAGAGGGCAUGCCUGUUUGAGCGUCAUUUCUCUCUCAAACCCCCGGGUUUGGUAUUGAGUGAUACUCUUAGUCGGACUAGGCGUUUGCUUGAAAAGUAUUGGCAUGGGUAGUACUGGAUAGUACUGUCGACCUCUCAAUGUAUUAGGUUUAUCCAACUCGUUGAAUGGUGUGGCGGGAUAUUUCUGGUAUUGUUGGCCCGGCCUUACAACAACCA